UCAAUGUUUGACCAUUCGUCUUAUUUAAAAUAUUUAUGUAACUAUCAUUUAUUUUAUUGUGACUUGAUUUAUCAUCAAAUGUUCUUUAAGCAUGACAUAAAUUAUUUUGUACUUGCGCAAAAAAUUUGAAUAAGACGAACGGUUAAACGUUGG
RNAcentral lists this microRNA precursor (153 nucleotides) under Oryza glumipatula. RNAcentral describes it as "MIR812 microRNA precursor family". It matches the Rfam family "MIR812 microRNA precursor family", at positions 28 to 178 of the family's 205-position model. Lineage: Eukaryota; Viridiplantae; Streptophyta; Magnoliopsida; Poales; Poaceae. The record is from Rfam by way of RNAcentral.